This 23-nucleotide non-coding RNA is filed under the name Arabidopsis thaliana (thale cress). Lineage: Eukaryota; Viridiplantae; Streptophyta; Magnoliopsida; Brassicales; Brassicaceae. The record is from RNAcentral.
GGAUCAUCUCCAUCCUCAUGUGC